UCCCCCCAAAUCAGAACUGAAGUACUGAAGAACACAGUGAGUCCCCCAAAUCGAGCUGAAAAGUUUUCUCUCCGUCAAACUUUCUCGCAGAAUCACGGAAGAACACGCUGAAUAUCUGAAGAACUUCUCGCUGAAUCGCUGAAGGUUUGUCAGGUUUCACUAUUUCACAUUGAAAGGCUGAAGAACACUAUUUCACGAUAUCUUGCUGAAGAGCUGAAGGUUACGCCUCACAAAUGAACACGCCUCACUAAAAUGCUUCACUUGAGAAGAUGGUGUCUUAAAGCUUCAUCACAUUUUUUUGGAAUAGGGUUUAUCAGGUAUGUUCAUUGCUAAGGGUGGUAGUAAGGUUCUGGUGGAGCCUCAUAGACAUGGAGGCGUGUUCAUUGCUAAGGGCAAGGAAGAUGAUCUUUGUACUAAGAAUUGGUACCCGGUGAAGCCGUCUACAAUGAAAAGAGAAUCUCUGUUCAGAUCAAGCUUGAGAUUAAGAUAUUGUAGAAUCAUUGUGGUGAACCUAAUAUUGUGAAGUUACUCAAUAUUGUCAGAGAUCAGCUGUCGAAGACCCCAAGUCUUAUAUUUGAAUAGUUGUUGCAGCCGAGGCGAAAGAAGUAGCAGUCUUUGCAUCAUCUUCAGAAUCUUUCUCAAAGUCAAACAUUAAUUGCAGCAUUGAGGAGAACCUUGUUCGAUAUCAAGCUGUUACAUGUGCUUCCGAAAAGAUGGCAAUACGAAUUCACGGACAGUCUCUUCAUUUCCUAAAACCGAAUAAGGGAAAUUCUUUCUGUGGGUUCUCCUUUUCCUCUAACCGGCAAUGUUGUAGCUUAUGUAAAUACUUCAUCUUCUCGUCCAAGGUACAUUUUAGUGGCUACCAGGAAUGUAAAUUUAUUAUUUUAAAUUAUAAUCUUGGUCAUUUACUCCUAUAACUUACUUUAUGAAUUCAAAUAAAUUGUACUGAUGUUAAUAAUUGCUGCAGUUUCUCGUGGUGAAUUUAGUGGAAAACUACUACUGAAAGGUUGAAGUGGUUUUCUGUUGCACAAAAUUGAUGCUUUUUAGGAAUGAAGUUGCUUGAUAUAAUCUUCCUUGUCAAUUGAGCAGUAGUGUUUGUUCUUUCUUUUUUCAGUUGCCAAAAUCACAUCUGAGGCAGGUGCAGAAUAAAGCAGAAGUUGAAGCAGCCAAUACUGGAAUGGCUUGGUGUAUCCAGCACGACUGUAGCAGAAUCAUCCUUGAGGUUGACUCGGAGCAAGUGACCAAAUGGUACAACAAUAGCAUUGCACCUCCAUGGAGCAUAACUGGCCUCAUUCAUCAACCUCAUACUAAUUUAAUACAACUUCUACUACAAUAUACCAACAUGAAAUUGGCAAUCAAACACAAUCCUACAAGGACAACACUAAGACAUUUAGCUGAAGCAGGGAAAUUGAGGUGAUCAAAUUUGAAGGGGUCCGCCACAAGUCAAUUUGAUCUCGUUGAAGUGGAUGAUGAUGAAGAGUUUUUGAACUAUUGUAGAAGUUUGAAUACAUUAUAUUUGAUUUGUGAAAUAUAUUCAUUGCUAGAAUAUAUUGAACUAUUGUAAGAGUACUUUUUGAA
Molecule: long non-coding RNA, 1578 nt
Organism: Solanum tuberosum (potato)
Lineage: Eukaryota; Viridiplantae; Streptophyta; Magnoliopsida; Solanales; Solanaceae
Exons: 7
Source: RefSeq, a predicted model, not a curated record